This 402-nucleotide ribosomal RNA is filed under the name uncultured bacterium. RNAcentral's name for it is "partial 16S ribosomal RNA". It matches the Rfam family "Bacterial small subunit ribosomal RNA", at positions 355 to 774 of the family's 1533-position model. The record is from RNAcentral.
UGGGGAAUAUUGGACAAUGGGCGAAAGCCUGAUCCAGCCAUGCCGCAUGAGUGAAGAAGGCCUUUGGGUUGUAACGCUCUUUUAGUGAGGAAGAUAAUGACGGUACUCACAGAAGAAGUCCUGGCUAACUCCGUGCCAGCAGCCGCGGUAAUACGGAGAGGGCUAGCGUUAUUCGGAAUUAUUGGGCGUAAAGGGCGCGUAGGCUGGUUAAUAAGUUAAAAGUGAAAUCCCGAGGCUUAACCUUGGAAUUGCUUUUAAAACUAUUAAUCUAGAGAUUGAAAGAGGAUAGAGGAAUUCCUGAUGUAGAGGUAAAAUUCGUAAAUAUUAGGAGGAACACCGGUGGCGAAGGCGUCUAUCUGGUUCAAAUCUGACGCUGAAGCGCGAAGGCGUGGGGAGCAAACA